ACAGUGCAGGGACCCAGCUGCCAAGCUCAGAAGGGUUGGGGCCAGGGGAGGGCCGCCCCGCAGCAGCUCCACACAACUGGAGCAGAAGAGAGCUGGUGCCUGAACCAGAAGCCCCUCCUUGGCCCCUCGCGACAGUACAGGGAACACUUGAACGGGCUGAGAUGGAGCUCCACAGCUGGAGCCUGGAAAUGAGAACACCUGGUACAAGUCUCUUCCUGCUCUCCAGCACGGGAGCAUGGGGCUGAGGACCACCUGACCACGUCUCUGGUGUCGCUCCAGGUGAGUGGCCUGGAGCUGAGGAACACCUGCUCUAUGUCUCAGAUGGAGCACUAUGACUGGAGCCUGGAAAGGAAGACCACCUGGAGCACAUCUCAGGUGCUCCACCUGGAGAGGAGCAUGAGGAGGAUGAAUACCUGGUCCAUGUCUCAAAUGGAGCUCUAGGACAGGAGCCUGGGGCUGAGGAACACGGGAUCAAUGUCUCAGGGGAGCUGCAGGCGCAGAGACUGAGGCUGAGGAACACCUCGUGCGUGUCUCCCGGGGAGCUCUAGGACAGGAGCCUGGGAUUGAGGAACGCCUGGUCCAUUUCUCAGGUGGAGUUCGAGGACAGGAGCCUGGGGAUCAGAAACACCUGCUUUACGCCUCCAGCGCAGCUCUGUGACUGGACCUUGGGGCUGAGGAACAAAGGCUCUGUGUCUCAGGUGGAGCUCUAGGAGAGGGGCCUAGGGAUGAGGCACACCUGGUGCCCGUCUCAGGUGGAGCUCUAGGACUUGACCCUGGGGCUGAGGACCAAUGUCUCUAUGACUGAGGUGGAGCUCUAGGACAGGAGCCCCCUGUGCAUGUCUCAGCUGGAGCUCUAUGGUGGAGUCUGGACAUGCAGAACACCUGGUGCAUAUCUCAGGUGCUUCUCCAGGAAGUAGCAGGGGCUGAUUUACACCUGUUCCACAUCUCAGGUGGAGCUCUAGGAACAGAACCUGGUGUUGAGGAACACCUGGUCCUCUUCUCUGGUGGAAUUCUAGGACAGGAGCCUGGGGCUGAGGAACACCUGGUCAAUGUCUCAGGUGGAGCUGUAUGAGAAGAGACUGGGGCUGAGGCACACCUGGUGCAUGUCUCAGCUGGAGCUGUAGUUCGGGGGCCUGAGGUUGAGGAACACCUGGUCCAUGUCUCCAGUGGAGCUCUAGUACAGGAGCCUGGGUCUCAGGAACACCUCGUCCAUUUCUCAGGUGGAGUUUAAGAACAGGAGCCUGGGGCUGAGGAACACCUGGUGCAGGUCUCGAGUGGAGCCUGGGACUGAGGAGCAAAGUCUCUGUGUCUCUGGUGAGGCUCGAGGACAGGAGCCUGGGGCUGAUGAACACCUGGUGCAGGUCUCAGGUGGAGCUCCAGGAGAGGAGCCCGGGUCUGUUGAACAUGUGGCACACGUCUAAGAUGCAGCUCUAGGACAAGAGCAUCUUCUGGGUUGGUGCAGCUGCUCCAUGGACACACCUGGAACAGCUGGGACCCGUCCCUGGGUCCUAUGGUGCUGGCGUCUGUGGAUAAGAUAGGACUCCAGGAAGUGUGGUUGCCUUCUAGGAAUUCACCCUCUCCCAGAGGAUGCCAGGCAUCUUCCCGAUGGUCAUCCAUGGAAAGUGGACUGAGAUGCAACAUGUCCUCCUUCAUGGUCAUCUGUGGACAGCGGACAGAGACACAAAGCAUCCUCCCACGUCAUCGGUGGACAGAGCUCCGUCCCAUGGGACACGCGGAGCGGGGGCGGGCAGGCCCUUGGCACCACGGAGAUGCUCACUUCCACAAAGAGCUGCCUCCACGAGGCGGAAGUGUUGAGAAACAGGAGUUUGGGGCCCGGAGCAGGGAUGUCCCUCCCAGGCCCACAGACACUGAGUUCACACUCCAGGGUCCACAGGAGAAAAUGGGAUCCUUGUCUUCAACAUGCUUGCAACUACUUGAAAGCUCGUCUACGUUUUCCAAUCCAUCCUUGCUAGAUGUAGCUGCAUAUCCACGCAGGCUUUCCCGGCGGCGGAUCAUUUAAAUCCUUCACUUAAACACUGUGCUUCGUUCACAUUCAAAUUCAGUUAUUCAAAAUAAAUUUACUUCUAAAUAAAUAACACGACGUUUGCGCUACAAAUCACAGUGAUUACGAUUAGGGAAAAUGUCAGGCGCUGCCUUACAAAUAAACCAGGCAUUUUCCCAGCAAGCGAUCCGAUGAUGAAUUGGCCGCUGAAGUUUGACUCACUUUUAUCCGGAAUUCCGUCUGCAGCACUCAGCGCGUGUGCGAAGGUUCACGCUUCCCGACAGGCCCCUUGGACUUGCUGCGACAGCGCCGGCCGGCCCUGGGAAACAAGUCGCAGCGUUGAGUUCCACGUUGCUCUCUCUAAUCGCUGCCCGGCUCGCUCCUUGUCCCAGGAACAGCAGAGGAAGCCUGAGAGAUCCACAGCGCUCAGCGUCUGUAGCCUGUAGCAUGCGCUGUUUUCUUCCUUCCAUUUCCCGGGUGUGUUUAAAAGCCUCGGGUCCCAGGUGAUGCCGGGGCUGCUUACCUGACAAGGAGAACGGUGGAGAAGAAGGUAAACCGUAAUUAUAAGUUGAAGUGAUUAAGAAAGUCAAUCAGCAGGCAAAAAUGUUCUUCCUGAAGGUAUUUAAAAGGGUAUCUCUAGUAUCUACUGCUCUUUAAAUAGUAUAGGAAAGCUUGAAGCACAGCGAGCUGAAUGUUUUCCAACCAUGGUUAAAGAGAGCGACAGAGAGAGACCGAUUCCCUAAAUGAGACGUUCUCUGCAAGCGCGGUCACACCCCGGCCGGCAGCACCCGGAAACCUGCCGGGAAGGCACAUCCUCAGCCCCUCCCCAGGACCUGCGGAGUCUAACCCCCCGGGGGGGGCCCCCAGCGGACCCCAGUGCUCUGCAGGCCCCGUGGGAGCCCGUCCUCCCACCCCCUGGGGUCCUCCGGUGGGAGGCAGCGGGAGCCCGCCCCGCCCGGCGGCUUGAGGGAGGACGGCUGCCCCAGGUCCCCCUCCCGAGUGGUCUCCAGGGUGCCGGGAGGGCUGGGGGGCCAGUGCUGUCCACACCGGCAGAAAGCCGCCUCCAGGCAGGAGCCCCCAGGAACAGGGGCUCGUGCCGCGCCCACAACGCAGAAGGGGGCAGCUACGGCUGAAGGAGGAGCAGGCAAACACGGGCACCCUCUCAAAGCGCUGUCCCUCAACACCUGUGGGACUCACCUGGAGGGACGUCAUGCAUAUGUCCAAAAUUCAGAUAUAGGCCGAAUUCCAGAGGCCGGGUGCCGCGGCCCCCUCCGCUGGGAGCUGCGACUGGCCAGGGAAAGGCCAGCAACGGCCAGGCGCCACCACCCUGGGACAAGGGCAGGCCAGGAGCAAGCACAAUCUAUUCAAGCAUCCUCUCCCUCCCAAUUAGUGCAGAAAUGCAACCCGUUUAUGGUCAAUAAAUGAAUAAGUACGUAACACAACAUAAACGUCAAUAAGACAGUAAUCAUAAAAAAAUGUAAAGGAGUUAAGAACUGCAAGCACCAUAAAAGCUGCUUUUAUUUCGAAUCUGACGGGUUGGCCCUGAAGGGUGGACGUGUGGUAACGCCAGGGUGCUCUGGGGCGUGCCGUGCAGGUGGCCUUCCAGGGGGACACGGAACCGGUUUAAAGUCACGACGGCGCCAUCGUGGCCCUGCGGGCCCAGAGCAGGACGGCCCAAAACUGCAACGCCCCGCACCCGAGUCCCGCCUGGAGCCCCUCCUCGAGGGGACGGCCUCCCCCACUCCCAUGCCGUGGGGGCUCCUCGGUCCCUGCUCGGCCAACUGGGGGUGGCGCAGAGCGUGAGGUCCCCGACCGUCUACGGCACGUCCCUAGUCGAAGCUCUUUCCGGACAAUUUGCCGGUUUAGGCGAAAGCGAAUGAGAGUGUGAAAUUCUGGGAAAAUGCAUGUGAAGAUCUGCACGCACUCAGAAUGGGGGAGAUACCGUUUUUAAGCACGCCACUCAAUGCAGAAACUCUCCGAAAACCAAUUCGGUGGAUUUGACUGAAAACGGAAAGCUGCAGCCCGGGGGCAAACACAGCACGAAAAGUGGACGGCCGGUGGCAGGACCGUGCAGGGCUCUUCCCUCACAAACCCAGGGAAGGCACUGGCACCCCGCUGCUGUGUCUCCCGAACACCGCGGGAAGAUGUCAGCAACAAGCCCAGCAAGGGCACAAAAACAUCAGUGCACAGAAAACGCUGGAAACCAUACAAAUGGGCAUGCAGAUUGGCAAGGUGCCCGUUUACUCUGCACACGACUCCCAGAGCAGGACCCGGCUGCGAGCAGAGCACGGCGAGCCCCACCCUCCCGCGGCUGCCGAGCGGACGGUCACCUCGGCCCGCCGCCCACGCCUGGGCGCAGUCCCGUGAACAGGUCAAAGCCAACUCCGGAAUGUUCGUGUCAGGACACACAAAGGCACAAGGAGGAGGCACUAAGUGCCACCUUAGGACACAGUUGGAGGCAGACGGGGCCCAAGCCCACUUGGCGACCUCGAAAAGUGAUGCUCUCGGGUGUUAUAGCAGCCAAGUUCAAACUAUUCUUUCUAAUGGAAAAAGUUUUCAAAGCGUUGUAAAAAGUGCUACUCUUUGGUAUCACGCAUCUGAAAAAAUAUAGUAUAUAGUGGCCGUGUCUCAGAGAACAUUUCCUCGAUACCAGGAAACACCAGGAAAAGGCAUGACUUGCUGGAAAUCACAACAUUCUCCCCAAGCCCCGCAGAUUUUUCGUGGUAGAAACAUCACAGAAAGCAAUGACCCUGCUCCAUCCGCCAGGCAGAGAUGCUCUGUGGAUAAAAAGAGAAAGCCAAGCUGAGCCGGCAGCGUCAGCUGGCGAUGAUUAUAGUUCAGCCAGCGGCUCAUCACCACGGGCAGUGGCUGCGCCGGGCAAAGACGUGCAGGUGCAGCCCGGGCCGCUCGGUCGUGGGAGGACGCCUCAUGCACUCAGGAGCAACGAACUCUGGACCAGGAAAGACUUGCUCGAAUGUGCACCGGAGGAUGAGGCAGAAGGAAACUCGACUGUGUCACGUAGACUCUGAACUUGCUGCCUUUGCCGGUGUUCCCAGAAGUGGGAGGAAGAUGAAUGGAGGCUCCGGCCCCGGCUCGCCUGGGAAGUCUCCUGUGAGGCAGGGAGACUCCGAGCAGCAGCAGGCUGCUGUUCCACCCUCCGGUCCCAACCCUUCCGUGUGCAGGGGCAGCACGACGUUUGCUGCCUGUGUGAAUCGAGUUUCCCUUUGCAAAGCGAACGCGUUCCUUAAAUUAAAACCUGGGGGGCAAAGAGAACGUAGAGGGAGCACGUUCCAAGUGGCAAUCGGAGAGAAAGAAGAAACACGCCCGGUAUCCGGACAGACACCGCCGGCCCCGUGGCCAUGCCCCGGGCGUGGUCCUGAGCAGGCGGCGUCACGGCCCCCGCCCCUGACGAGUGGAGGGAGGAUCGCCACCUUCUGAGCCACAAAUCACACGCGGUCCUGGACCGACAGUCCAUUCUGUUGACCUUAAAAGGCAGCAGCAGACAACGAACGUUCGCCUGUGCUGGGGAGAAGGGACGUCACCGUACUCAGGGCGGACACUCUCCCUCACCGCGUUCCCUUUCGCCCGCAGCAACCAAGCACAUUUGCAUAAGUGACAUUCCCCCUGCGGUCCCCCGCGCUGGCUUCCUCCGUGGAGGGCUCCGUGAUGCCGAUUUUAACCCGCGCUCCGAACCUCUCCCUCCAAAAAGCGCGGUUCCGGCGUCUCGCGCCUGCAUUUUGCAAUGCUGGAAAGCAGGUGACGCAGCUGUCCUCGGCCGUCCCAGGCUGCGUGUCACUCGGCAGUGGCACCUGCGCGGGGCCGUGGAGGCCCACGCCCGGGUGUCCACGCGAAGGGCUCGGCUCGUCGCUGACGGACGUUCACAAAGUCUGUCUGCGAUUGCUCUCCUGCGCCGUCCUCCUUUAGGUGCACGGAAGUUUCCCUGGAGCCCAGAACAGACCGGCAGAUUCCGGAGCCCCCCUCGGGGAGACGGGAAAGCUGUCUCUUGGCAGAGGUUGGUUUUCCCAUCGAUCGAGCGUUCCUGCUGCCCGCAGCCGCGGUGCCCGGCUGUUUAUUUCUGAGUUGGCAGCAGCCGGGCCUCAGAAGUGGAUCCCAGGGUUAGGGUUAGGGUUAGGGUUAUCGCGACAGGUGCCCAGCGCCAGGCCGAGUGUCCCCAGGCACGGCCGCCCCACGCCCCUCCCGGUGCAGCCCCCGCCUCUUCCCCAACCUUGGUGUCCUGGGGGGGCAGGGGAGCAAGGUCUGGGGGAAGCCGGUGCUGGGCUCGGACGGGCGUCCAGCCCUCCCUUCCAGGGUCGCUAUGGCCUCCUUGGGCGGGGUUCCCGGAGAUGCCUCCAGCGCAGGAGGGAGGCCGAGGAGGGCAGGCAUGGAGGGAGUAAGGCCGGGAUUGGGGCACAGGGCGCAGCUAGACCCCCGUUACACACAGGCAGUGUCCUCAGGGCCCCCAAGGGGAGCAAAGCGGGAGCAAAGCCCGGGCAAACCGCCCAGACUGGAGUGGCCACAGCAGGAGACCCAGGGUGUUGAGAGGGGCUGGUGGCCCUGUCCUCAGCUGCCACCUGCCUCCCGAGCUGCCCCCGGUCCUGCCAGAGAGGAGCCAGCUCCCCACAGGCGCCCCGUCCUUUGUGCCUGAGCCAGACGCUGACCAGGAGCCCGGGCCAGGGGACCGGCGUCGAGAACGGUGGACUCCGGGCUUGAUGGAUGUGGCCGCUCGGAAGCUGUGGCAAUUACCGCCGUGCGCAGGCUGUUAUUCUUCUGCUACAAGUGGUCGUCAUGUCUGAGUGGCCCGAUUUGUGAGGCUUUGGCCUGCCUUGUCCACUUAAAAGAUCAUUAAUCACCGGCCCAGUUUAUAAAUCGAGGGGCCAGCUCACCGCGCGCAGUGAUGAGGUCGGAGCGCCCGGGAGUACUUAGCCAAUUCCCAGCCCCGGCCUCGCCGCUUCCUCCCGCCCCGGCGGCGGCCCAUCCAUCAUCCCGGCCUGCCGAGGCGGAGUGAUGCUGUCAGAGGGUGCCCGGAGCCAACAAUGUGAUCCGCUAAGACGCGGGCCCGGAGCUCUUUAAAAUUUCCAGCCAGUUCCUUAGCCCUUUGUGUUAACAAAACCUAUUCAUUUCGGGAUUUGGCAGUUCAAAUUAUUUCAGACAAGACCCCGAGACAAAUGGUUAUAUGAUAGAGUCGCACGCGCAAGUGGCGGCCGCGGGAAAAAUGGACGCUGUUCGCUGGCGAUGGGAAGACGGAGCGGCGGUGGAGGCCGGCGCGGUGAUGCAGGGGGGGCCUGGCACCCCACCUGCCGCGUCCCGGCACCCACCUGCCUACCGCGUCCCGGCACCCACCUGCCUACCGCGUCCCAGCACCCCACCUGCCUGCCAUGUCCCGGCACCCACCUGCCUACCGCAUCCCAGCACCCCACCUGCCUACCGCGUCCCGGCACCCCACCUGCCUACCGCGUCCUGGCACCCACCUGCCUACUGCGUCCCCGGGCAGCUCUGAGGACCGAGAGGCUCCACCAGCUGCAAAAGAAAGUUCCCCCGGACCCUGCGUGUCUGAGCUUGCGGAGGGCUCGGGCGUGGUUUGUAGAGCAGUUACCUGGGACGAGCCGUGGAAAGACCACAGCAAGGAGCUGCCUCCUCCCGGUCUGUGUCACCUGCUAAGUGGCUUUU
Molecule: non-coding RNA, 7669 nt
Organism: Microcebus murinus (gray mouse lemur)
Lineage: Eukaryota; Metazoa; Chordata; Mammalia; Primates; Cheirogaleidae
Source: RefSeq, a predicted model, not a curated record